This 440-nucleotide ribosomal RNA is filed under the name uncultured bacterium. Its description in RNAcentral is "partial 16S ribosomal RNA". It matches the Rfam family "Bacterial small subunit ribosomal RNA", at positions 338 to 795 of the family's 1533-position model. The record is from RNAcentral.
CCUACGGGAGGCAGCAGUGGGGUAUAUUCCACAAUGGGCGAAAGCCUGAUGCAGCAACGCCGCGUGAGUGAGGAAGUUCUUCGGUAUGUAAAGCUCUAUCAGCAGGGAAGAAAAUGCGGGUACCUGACUAAGCACCUCUUGCUAACUACGAACCAGCAGCCGACGUCUAACGUCGGGCGAACGCGUUAUCCGGAAUUACUGGGGGAAAAGGGAGCGUAGAUGGCUAAUCAAGUCAGAAGUGAAAGCCCAGGGCUCAACCGUGGGAAUGAAGUUGAAACUGAAGAGCGAGAGUGCAGGAGAGGUAAGCGGAAUUCCUAGUGUAGCGGUGAAAUGCGUAGAUAGAAGGAGGAACACCAGUGGCGAAGGCGGCUUACUGGACUGUAACUGACGUUGAGGUGCGAAAGCGUGGGGAGCAAACAGGAUUAGAUACCCCUGUAGUC